This 77-nucleotide transfer RNA is filed under the name Bacilli bacterium. RNAcentral describes it as "tRNA-Arg". It matches the Rfam family "tRNA". Rfam says of the family: Transfer RNA (tRNA) molecules are approximately 80 nucleotides in length. Their secondary structure includes four short double-helical elements and three loops (D, anti-codon, and T loops). Further hydrogen bonds mediate the characteristic L-shaped molecular structure. tRNAs have two regions of fundamental functional importance: the anti-codon, which is responsible for specific mRNA codon recognition, and the 3' end, to which the tRNAs corresponding amino acid is attached (by aminoacyl-tRNA synthetases). tRNAs cope with the degeneracy of the genetic code in two manners: having more than one tRNA (with a specific anti-codon) for a particular amino acid; and 'wobble' base-pairing, i.e. permitting non-standard base-pairing at the 3rd anti-codon position. Lineage: Bacteria; Bacillati; Bacillota; Bacilli. The record is from RNAcentral.
GCGCCCGUAGCUCAGUUGGAUAGAGCACAUGCCUUCUAAGCCUGUGGUAGUGAGUUCGAAUCUCGCCGGGCGCGCCA